GUAGGUUGCAUUAUUGCAUGGGAGUGAGGAUAGGUUUUUCCUUGAGAGAAUAUCACUUUAAGAAUUCAGUUCAUUGCCCUAGUUUCUAGUUUGAUGCAUGCAAACAAGAAAGAAAUCAAGAUUGAUCCAUACUCGGAACUUGUCAAGCUUUGAAUAGUUCCAGCCUUAUCUAAGUGAGAACCAUAAUUUGACAAUCUAAUUAGCAUGUUUGUGCAUGUCAUUGUGAACUCAUGAGUACCUUAAAAUAUUUGAGCUUUCUUAUUAUGCCUUUUUACUACUCUUUGCUAGCUCAAAUAGCUGCUCUGUCAUCUUGAGACA
Molecule: long non-coding RNA, 318 nt
Filed under: Eutrema salsugineum
Lineage: Eukaryota; Viridiplantae; Streptophyta; Magnoliopsida; Brassicales; Brassicaceae
Description: long non-coding RNA (ESAL_LNC000337)
Source: RNAcentral